Molecule: long non-coding RNA, 724 nt
Organism: Dendrobium catenatum
Lineage: Eukaryota; Viridiplantae; Streptophyta; Magnoliopsida; Asparagales; Orchidaceae
Exons: 4
Source: RefSeq, a predicted model, not a curated record
UGCUUAAUAGAAUCUUUGGAGGAGAGGGGCUUUGGAUAUAUCAAAGUUGGUCAGAUUUGUACAGUUUUUCCUGAUAGGAUCAAUGAGUAUGCUUAUUAUCCAAUCCCCAAUCCAGGCUUUGGACGUUUACUAUUGCCUUGAUUAUGGGCUCAAAAACUACUGUUGCAGUAUUUGUGUUGUCUUAAUGGCAGAAGUGAACGGAGGGAGCAAUCUGGACCUGGUUCCAAAGUCUGCCAUCCUCGGCGGAACUUUUAGAGCUUUCUCAAAUGCUAGCCUUCAUAAGCUCAGGCAAAGAAUAGAGGAGGUCAUUGUAAUGCAGUAGUGUGUAUAAAUGCUCUGCUUCAGCAUACUUCUUUGAGAAUUAACAAUUCUACCCUCCCACUGUCAAUGUGAAGAAUGUGGCUGUUAGCCUGCUGGGUCUGAAGAACUAUAAGGAUGUUCCUCCAAUGAUGGGUCCAGAAGACUACUCCUACUCAGACAUUGUAAUUCUAUUACAUAGGCGUUAGAUUUGUGGAUAUUAUUUAAUUGUAAGACUAAGAUUUUGUUAUAAGGAAUGAAGGUGAUCGAGUUGGAUCACUUUUAGCUUUCCGCAGCUAAAUCGACCUCCAUGAUUUUUUCCAUGUAGCAAUUGGAGUUUAUUUUAGAAUCACUUCUUUCCUCAUUCCCCUUCUAGUCUAAAAGUGUUGAUAAACAUAUUAGGCAAGAAUAGAUUAAUCUUUUCAAA